This 1119-nucleotide non-coding RNA is filed under the name Drosophila willistoni. Its description in RNAcentral is "Eukaryotic large subunit ribosomal RNA". It matches the Rfam family "Eukaryotic large subunit ribosomal RNA", at positions 1469 to 2243 of the family's 3401-position model. Lineage: Eukaryota; Metazoa; Arthropoda; Insecta; Diptera; Drosophilidae. The record is from Rfam by way of RNAcentral.
AAUCGAAUGAGACCUUGGAGGACUGAAGUGGAGAAGGGUUUCGUGUGAACAGUGGUUGAUCACGAGUUAGUCGGUCCUAAGUUCAAGGCGAAAGCCGAAAAUUUUCAAGUUUUAAAAAUGUCAAAUGAAAUAAUAAAUAAUAAAACACUUGAAUAAUUUUGAACGAAAGGGAAUACGGUUCCAAUUCCGUAACCUGUUGAGUAUCCGUUUGUUAUUAAAUAUGGGCCUCGUGCUCAUCCUGGCAACAGGAACGACCAUAAAGAAGCCGUCGAGAGGUAUCGGAAGAGUUUUCUUUUCUGUUUUAUAGCCGUACUACCAUGGAAGUCUUUCGCAGAGAGAUAUGGUAGAUGGGCUAGAAGAGCAUGACAUAUACUGUUGUGUCGAUAUUUUCUCCUCGGACCUUGAAAAUUUAUGGUGGGGAUACGCAAACUUCUCAACAGGCCGUACCAAUAUCCGCAGCUGGUCUCCAAGGUGAAGAGUCUCUAGUCGAUAGAAUAAUGUAGGUAAGGGAAGUCGGCAAAUUAGAUCCGUAACUUCGGGAUAAGGAUUGGCUCUGAAGAUUGAGAUAGUCGGGCUUGAUUGGGAAACAAUAACAUGGUUUAUGUGCUCGUUCUGGGUAAAUAGAGUUUCUAUCAUUUAUGAUAGUUAUUUGUUCCCCGGAUAGUUAGUUACGUAGCCAAUUGUGGAACUUUCUUGCUAAAAUUUUUAAGAAUACUAAUUUUUAAUUAGUUCUUUUAAAUUAUAACGAUUAUCAAUUAACAAUCAAUUCAGAACUGGCACGGACUUGGGGAAUCCGACUGUCUAAUUAAAACAAAGCAUUGUGAUGGCCCUAGCGGGUGUUGACACAAUGUGAUUUCUGCCCAGUGCUCUGAAUGUCAAAGUGAAGAAAGGAGGUGGAGCUCGAAGCAAGUGGUAAUUUGAGAUUUCCUAAUAAGAAGCUAGCGGAAGUAUUUACUCACCGUAGCUCCGAAGCAAUUAAAUGUUUUCGGAAGAGGGGUGAAUAUAAGGCAAAACUGGAGCAGAUCAGAGGGCAAUCUACUCCCACCCCAGAAGCGUUGGACUCUAUUACCUCACAGCCUCGCCCUAGUUUACUCGAGCGAAACCACCAAGUAUCAUCGU